UACGGAAGGUGCAAGCGUUGUUCGGAAUGACUGGGCGUAAAGAGCACGUAGGCGGUUUUGUAAGUCGGAUGUGAAAGCCCCGGGCUUAACCUGGGAAUAGCACCCGAAACUACAAAACUUGAAUGCUUAAGAGGUUGGUGGAAUUCCAGGUGUAGGAGUGAAAUCCGUAGAUAUCUGGAGGAACAUCGGCGGCGAAGGCGGCCAACUGGUGAUGCAUUGACGCUGAGGUGCGAAAGCGUGGGGAGCAAACAGG
Molecule: unclassified non-coding RNA, 253 nt
Filed under: uncultured Oligoflexaceae bacterium
Lineage: Bacteria; Pseudomonadati; Bdellovibrionota; Oligoflexia; Oligoflexales; Oligoflexaceae
Description: contains 16S-23S intergenic spacer region
Rfam family: Bacterial small subunit ribosomal RNA
Source: RNAcentral